RNAcentral lists this ribosomal RNA (432 nucleotides) under uncultured bacterium. RNAcentral describes it as "partial 16S ribosomal RNA". It matches the Rfam family "Bacterial small subunit ribosomal RNA", at positions 29 to 507 of the family's 1533-position model. The record is from RNAcentral.
AACGAACGCUGGCGGCAUGCCUAACACAUGCAAGUCGAACGAGACCUUCGGGUCUAGUGGCGCACGGGUGCGUAACGCGUGGGAACCUGCCCUUAGGUUCGGAAUAACUCCCGAAAGGGGUUCUAAUACCGGAUAAUGUUUUCGGACCAAAGAUUUAUCGCCUUUGGAUGGGCCCGCGUUGGAUUAGCUAGUUGGUAGGGUAAAAGCCUACCAAGGCGACGAUCCAUAGCUGGUCUGAGAGGAUGAUCAGCCACACUGGGACUGAGACACGGCCCAGACUCCUACGGGAGGCAGCAGUGGGGAAUAUUGGACAAUGGGCGAAAGCCUGAUCCAGCAAUGCCGCGUGAGUGAUGAAGGCCUUAGGGUUGUAAAGCUCUUUUACCCGGGAUGAUAAUGACAGUACCGGGAGAAUAAGCUCCGGCUAACUCCGUG